Limulus polyphemus (Atlantic horseshoe crab) is the source of this 251-nucleotide long non-coding RNA. RefSeq lists it as uncharacterized. Lineage: Eukaryota; Metazoa; Arthropoda; Merostomata; Xiphosura; Limulidae. The transcript has 2 exons. The record is from RefSeq and is a predicted model, not a curated record.
CAGAGUGUCAAAAACUGCGUCGCUUAUAAAUUUGCAGCAGUUCAAGAGGAUCCAGAAAAUACACUCUCUGGAAUGAUUGACAAGUGUUUCUAAAGAGCUUCAAUGGAUGACUUAACAGUUGAUGAGGACCAGUAUCUACAUAUUACCUAUAAUAUAAUAAUCUGAAUCUGUCGUGGUUUCCUUCUUUUUGGGAUAUGUUUAACUCUCAAAUACGUUUAUCUGGAAAAUAAAACUAUCAUAAAGCAUCAAAA